UACGUAGGGUGCAAGCGUUGUCCGGAAUUAUUGGGCGUAAAGAGCUCGUAGGCGGUCUGUCGCGUCGGCUGUGAAAACCCGGAGCUCAACUCCGGGCCUGCAGUCGAUACGGGCAAACUGGAGUGUUGCAGGGGAGACUGGAAUUCCUGGUGGAGCGGUGAAAUGCGUUGAUAUCAGGAGGAACACCGGCGGCGAAGGCGAGGCUCUGGCCCGUUACUGACACUGAGACGCGAAAGCUAGGGGAGCAAACGGG
Molecule: ribosomal RNA, 253 nt
Filed under: uncultured bacterium
Lineage: Bacteria
Description: partial 16S ribosomal RNA
Rfam family: Bacterial small subunit ribosomal RNA
Source: RNAcentral